UUUAUAUAUUCAUAAGGACAUAACGAAUAUUUUCCUAAGUCAUAUCUUUACAGUAUAUGUUUGGAAAGAGCAAAUAAAAUCAAUCUACAAUUUAAGAAUUAGGGACAUAAUUUAUCACAUGCAUAAUAAGUACCAUUUAAUUUAUAAAUUUGAAACGUUGUUAUUUAGGAGAAAAUAUCAUGCUGCAAGUGAUUAAACAAUAACCAAGUCAUUGCCUAAUAAAAAUAUAUGCCAACGAGUGAUAAGACAUGACAAAAACAUAACCAAAUAACAUAGGUUCUAGAAUUCUAAACAAAUAAACAGAUUCAUAUAAUCAUGAAAUUAAAAUUACUACUAGGAAUAAAAUUUCAGCCACUUUAUUUUAAGUUUACUUUAUUGAGUCCUAGCACAACGAUGGUACCUCAUCGCCCAACAACCAACUACCUGUUCUAGUCUGUAAGAAGUAGAAGAAAAGGGUGAGGGAGCAUUCAAUAGGACAUGAGUAAAUGUGCAAUCCCAAAUAAAAUAUCAAUUCAAGUGUCAAAAUAAUUAUACCGUUGUGUCAUAUCUUUAGAAACCAAUAAUAGCUCAUAAUAUAUCAUAACUUUGUUACUGGAUGACCAUAUCAUAUGAUAUCAUAUCUUUCGUAAGCAUAAUGUUUUUCAACAUGAAUAAAUGAAAUUAAUGGAACAAGCCACUUACACCUUGUAAUCCUAUCUCGUUAGAUUUUUGUAAGGCAAGUGUCAUAAUCUAAGUCGCAGUGUCCAUGUUAUGAUGUUUCUAUUGCAGUACAUACAACAUGGAAGUUGAAAUAGAAAUAGGAGCUAGACAUUACAUUGGAUUUAACGUACUUCUUAUAUACAUUCUUUUAUUUAGUCUUGGACCCAUAGUUGGUAUGUUAAAAUAAUGUCAGCUAGUAACUAUCUCGUUGGAAGUUAUACUCUUCGGCAAUAACAGUCAUCAAGUUACGUUCCCUAUCAAUCUAAUUAUCUCAUACUAGUCAAUUCUUGUAAGUACUAAAGCCUAUUUAAUUAACCAGUUUGUCACAAUUAUUCGUUUCAGACAAUGCCAGUCAUUAAGAA
This 1061-nucleotide long non-coding RNA is filed under the name Olea europaea subsp. europaea. The record is from RNAcentral. Lineage: Eukaryota; Viridiplantae; Streptophyta; Magnoliopsida; Lamiales; Oleaceae.